Molecule: long non-coding RNA, 912 nt
Organism: Nycticebus coucang (slow loris)
Lineage: Eukaryota; Metazoa; Chordata; Mammalia; Primates; Lorisidae
Exons: 4
Source: RefSeq, a predicted model, not a curated record
GACAGAGUCUCACUUUAUUGCCCUCAGUAGAGUGCCAUGAUGUCACAGCUUACAGCAACCUCCAACUACUGGACAUAAGCGAUUCUCCUGCCUCAGACUCCUGAUCAGCUUGGACUACAGGCGCCCGCCACAACACCCAGCCAUUUUUAUGUUGCAGUUUGGCGGGUGCCGGGUUCCAACCCACCACCCUCGGUAUAUGGGGCUGGCCUCCUACCCAGCGAGCCCCAGGCGGCCCCCAGGACUAUAUACAUCUGAACAAUACUGAGUCUUCCAAAUCACAAAGAUGACAUGUCUCAAUUUAGAUUUCCUUUAAUUUCUCUCAUACCAUCUGUGGUUAAUGUGCAGGAAGGAAGUAAUGAAGCCCAUCUCAGAGCAUGGCUUUGAGGAUUUAAAGAGAAAAGCAACCUACAGGCAUGCGGGAGUUAAUAAGUCCUCCAGAAAUUUAACUACAUCAUUCCAACUUUGCUUCCUUCAUUGUGUCAAUGUGAUGCCUCUGACAUUAACGUAAUAGUAUGACUACCAGGAAAAAUAAUUGGAGAUGCAACAGCAAGCAAAGAGAAGCCCACAUUUACAUUAUGUAUUGGCUGAUGAAUAGGAUUGAGUUGUAUUUACCUGGAUGGAGUUGAAGAACAUUCUCCUUAGUAAAGUAUCACAAGAAUGGAAAAUCAAUUAACUGAUAUACUCAAUACUAAUAUGAAACCCACAGAUGAUCAACAACACGCCCACAGAUACCCAGUAGUGGGAUUGCAGGAUGCUGGUAUGGAUGCACAGAGAACAGACCGCUUAUACAGUGUUGGUGAAACUACAAAUUAAUAUAACUUCUAUGGAAAACUGUAUGGAGAUUCCUCAAAGAACUAAACACAGACUUACCAUUCUAUCCCCUGGAGCUUUUAACUCUCAGAAUUAUCUACA